CCCUUAGAUGUUCGGGGCCGCACGCGCGCUACACUGAAGGAAUCAGCACGUCUUUCUCCUUGUCCGAAAGGACUGGGUAACCCGCUGAACCUCCUUCGUGCUAGGGAUUGGGGCUUGUAAUUCUUCCCCAUGAGCGAGGAAUUCCCAGUAAGCGCGAGUCAUAAGCUCGCGUUGAUUACGUCCCUGCCCUUUGUACACACCGCCCGUCGCUACUACCGAUUGGAUGGUUUAGUGAGAUCCUCGGAUUGGUCCCGGCGCGGCCUCUGGUCGUGCCGGAGUGCCGAAAAGAAUGUCGAACUUGAUCAUCUAGAGGAAGUAAAAGUCGUAACA
Molecule: ribosomal RNA, 330 nt
Filed under: uncultured eukaryote
Lineage: Eukaryota
Description: partial 18S ribosomal RNA
Rfam family: Eukaryotic small subunit ribosomal RNA
Source: RNAcentral